CUACCGCAGCCUACACAUGCAGUCGACGGUAACAGGAUAGCUUGCUAUCGCUGACGAGUGGCGGACGGGUGAGUAAUACUUAGGGAUCUGCCUCUGUGUGGGGGAUAACUAUUGGAAACGAUAGCUAAUACCGCAUAAUGUCUACGGACCAAAGCGGGCUUCGGCUCGUGCGCAGAGAGGAACCUAAGCGAGAUUAGCUAGUUGGUGAGGUAAAGGCUCACCAAGGCGACGAUCUCUAGCUGUUCUGAGAGGAAGAUCAGCCACACUGGAACUGAGACACGGUCCAGACUCCUACGGGAGGCAGCAGUGGGGAAUAUUGCACAAUGGGGGAAACCCUGAUGCAGCCAUGCCGCGUGUGUGAAGAAGGCCUUCGGGUUGUAAAGCACUUUCAGUUGUGAGGAAAGUUUAGUAGUUAAUACCUGCUAGAUGUGACGUUAGCAACAGAAGAAGCACCGGCUAACUCCGUGCCAGCAGCCGCGGUAAUACGGAGUGUGCGAGCGUUAAUCGGAAUUACUGGGCGUAAAGCGCACGCAGGCGGUCUGUUAAGCUAGAUGUGAAAGCCCCGCGCUCAACGUGGGAGGGUCAUUUAGAACUGGCAGACUAGAGUCUUGGAGAGGGGAGUGGAAUUCCAGGUGUAGCGGUGAAAUGCGUAGAGAUCUGGAGGAACAUCAAUGGCGAAGGCAACUCCCUGGCCAAAGACUGACGCUCAUGUGCGAAAGUGUGGGUAGCGAACAGGAUUAGAUACCCUGGUAGUCCACACCGUAAACGCUGUCUACUAGCUGUUUGUGAAUUU
RNAcentral lists this ribosomal RNA (793 nucleotides) under uncultured bacterium. RNAcentral describes it as "bacterial SSU rRNA". It matches the Rfam family "Bacterial small subunit ribosomal RNA", at positions 36 to 833 of the family's 1533-position model. The record is from RNAcentral.